AACGAACGCUGGCGGCAUGCCUAACACAUGCAAGUCGAACGAGACCUUCGGGUCUAGUGGCGCACGGGUGCGUAACGCGUGGGAACCUGCCCUUAGGUUCGGAAUAACUCCCCGAAAGGGGUGCUAAUACCGGAUAAUGUCUUCGGACCAAAGAUUUAUCGCCUUUGGAUGGGCCCGCGUUGGAUUAGCUAGUUGGUAGGGUAAAAGCCUACCAAGGCGACGAUCCAUAGCUGGUCUGAGAGGAUGAUCAGCCACACUGGGACUGAGACACGGCCCAGACUCCUACGGGAGGCAGCAGUGGGGAAUAUUGGACAAUGGGCGAAAGCCUGAUACAGCAAUGCCGCGUGAGUGAUGAAGGCCUUAGGGUUGUAAAGCUCUUUUACCCGGGAUGAUAAUGACAGUAACGGGAGAAUAAGCUCCGGCUAACUCCGUG
Molecule: ribosomal RNA, 433 nt
Filed under: uncultured bacterium
Lineage: Bacteria
Description: partial 16S ribosomal RNA
Rfam family: Bacterial small subunit ribosomal RNA
Source: RNAcentral